AAAUUGAAGAGUUUGAUCAUGGCUCAGAUUGAACGCUGGCGGCAGGCCUAACACAUGCAAGUCGAACGGUAACAGGAAACAGCUUGCUGUUUCGCUGACGAGUGGCGGACGGGUGAGUAAUGUCUGGGAAACUGCCCGAU
Molecule: ribosomal RNA, 140 nt
Filed under: Shigella flexneri
Lineage: Bacteria; Pseudomonadati; Pseudomonadota; Gammaproteobacteria; Enterobacterales; Enterobacteriaceae
Description: partial 16S ribosomal RNA
Rfam family: Bacterial small subunit ribosomal RNA
Source: RNAcentral